GACGAACCGUGCGAACGUUGUUCGGAAUCACUGGGCUUAAAGGGCGCGUAGGCGGGCUACCAAGUCUGUGGUGAAAUCCUCCAGCUCAACUGGAGAACGGCCGCGGAUACUGGUGGUCUCGAGGGGGAUAGGGGCAAGCGGAACUGUGCGUGGAGCGGUGAAAUGCGUUGAUAUGCACAGGAACUCCGGUGGCGAAGGCGGCUUGCUGGAUCUCUUCUGACGCUGAGGCGCGAAAGCUAGGGGAGCGAACGGG
This 253-nucleotide ribosomal RNA is filed under the name uncultured bacterium. Its description in RNAcentral is "partial 16S ribosomal RNA". It matches the Rfam family "Bacterial small subunit ribosomal RNA", at positions 524 to 776 of the family's 1533-position model. The record is from RNAcentral.